CAAUAGCGUAUAUUAAAGUUGUUGCAGUUAAAAAGCUCGUAGUUGGACCUUGGACCUGGACAGGCGGUCCGCCUCACGGCGAGUACUGUCUUGCUGGUCUUUCCUCUUGGUGAUCUGUUGUUUCGGCAGCAGGGAACCAGGACCUUUACUUUGAAAAAAUUAGAGUGUUCAAAGCAGGCUCGACGCCGGAAUAUAUUAGCAUGGAAUAAUAAAAUAGGACGUGCGGUUCUAUUUUGUUGGUUUUUGGAAUCGCCGUAAUGAUUAAUAGGGACAGUCGGGGGCAUUAGUACUCACAUGCUAGAGGUGAAAUUCUUGGAUUUUGUGAAGACUAACUUCUGCGAANGNAUUUGCNAAGGAUGUUUNCAUUA
This 368-nucleotide ribosomal RNA is filed under the name uncultured eukaryote. RNAcentral describes it as "partial 18S ribosomal RNA". It matches the Rfam family "Eukaryotic small subunit ribosomal RNA", at positions 592 to 975 of the family's 1831-position model. The record is from RNAcentral.